AGGAGGAAAAUUUAUUCGUGACAACCACGCGAAUCCGCAGAUAAUUCCAGCAGAUUGAAAACGACGUGAUCGCGGAAUAAGUUACGGAGAGGCGAGAUCUCGUCGGGCUUUGCAGUCGUUGAUUGCACGCUGUAUUCUACACAAGCAAACUAUGAGGCUUUUAUUGGCUGUAACGUUCGCGAUAGCGUUAUUUUUCAUCCUGUCGACGCCGGGCACGCGCGCAACUAUCACAAAUAACUCGCAGGAGGACAAGCGAUUUUUGCGCUUUGACGCUUACAAAAUCGAAGCGGGAUCGAUCAUUAAUGUCCCUAUACAAUGUCCACCGGAAAAGGUCAAAGUUGGAAAUCGCUGUCGGAGCGUCUUUUAGAAUCUUCAUAGAAUAAUUGAACCAUUAUAACGAAAAAGAAGAAAAUUGUCGAAGAAGGAAACAUUGUCGAAAAUUAAUGAGAAUCAUGGAAAAUGUACCUAAUGAAUUACCUAAAUGAAUUACCUAAAUGAAUUACCUAAUGAAAUGUACUAAUGAAUUAAUUGUAUAUGUAAGAUCUAUAAUCGCAAAAUCCUUCCUCAAUUACGGUUUUUCUUCGAAACGCAAUCAAGAUGAGAAGAUACUAAAUUAUUUUGCUAUGUUUAUCCUCACAAGCACCAAAAAUAGAUCUUAUAUCAGGCAUGCAGCAAUUAAAACCAAAGUGAAAAAAU
Pogonomyrmex barbatus (red harvester ant) is the source of this 696-nucleotide long non-coding RNA. Lineage: Eukaryota; Metazoa; Arthropoda; Insecta; Hymenoptera; Formicidae. The record is from RefSeq and is a predicted model, not a curated record.